CUUGCUUCUCUUGAGAGCGGCGGACGGGUGAGUAAUGCCUAGGAAUCUGCCUGGUAGUGGGGGAUAACGUCCGGAAACGGACGCUAAUACCGCAUACGUCCUACGGGAGAAAGCAGGGGACCUUCGGGCCUUGCGCUAUCAGAUGAGCCUAGGUCGGAUUAGCUAGUUGGUGGGGUAAUGGCUCACCAAGGCGACGAUCCGUAACUGGUCUGAGAGGAUGAUCAGUCACACUGGAACUGAGACACGGUCCAGACUCCUACGGGAGGCAGCAGUGGGGAAUAUUGGACAAUGGGCGAAAGCCUGAUCCAGCCAUGCCGCGUGUGUGAAGAAGGUCUUCGGAUUGUAAAGCACUUUAAGUUGGGAGGAAGGGCAGUAAAUUAAUACUUUGCUGUUUUGACGUUACCGACAGAAUAAGCACCGGCUAACUCUGUGCCAGCAGCCGCGGUAAUACAGAGGGUGCAAGCGUUAAUCGGAAUUACUGGGCGUAAAGCGCGCGUAGGUGGUUCGUUAAGUUGGAUGUGAAAUCCCCGGGCUCAACCUGGGAACUGCAUUCAAAACUGACGAGCUAGAGUAUGGU
This 577-nucleotide ribosomal RNA is filed under the name uncultured bacterium. RNAcentral's name for it is "bacterial SSU rRNA". It matches the Rfam family "Bacterial small subunit ribosomal RNA", at positions 79 to 652 of the family's 1533-position model. The record is from RNAcentral.